GAUGAACGCUGGCGGCGUGCUUAACACAUGCAAGUCGAACGAAGCAUUUAGAACAGAUUACUUCGGUUUGAAGUUCUUUAUGACUGAGUGGCGGACGGGUGAGUAACGCGUGGGUAACCUGCCUUGUACUGGGGGAUAGCAGCUGGAAACGGCUGGUAAUACCGCAUAAGCGCACAAUGUUGCAUGACAUGGUGUGAAAAACUCCGGUGGUAUAAGGUGGACCCGCGUCUGAUUAGCUAGUUGGUGAGAUAACAGCCCACCAAGGCGACGAUCAGUAGCCGACCGGAGAGGGGGACCGGCCACAUUGGGACUGAGACACGGCCCAGACUCCUACGGGAGGCAGCAGUGGGGAAUAUUGCACAAUGGAGGAAAAUCUGAUGCAGCGACGCCGCGUGAGUGAAGAAGUAAUUCGUUAUGUAAAGCUCUAUCAGCAGGGAAGAUAGUGACGGUACCUGACUAAGAAGCUCCGGCUAAAUACGUG
This 481-nucleotide ribosomal RNA is filed under the name uncultured bacterium. RNAcentral describes it as "partial 16S ribosomal RNA". It matches the Rfam family "Bacterial small subunit ribosomal RNA", at positions 28 to 507 of the family's 1533-position model. The record is from RNAcentral.